This 332-nucleotide unclassified non-coding RNA is filed under the name Hevea brasiliensis (rubber tree). Lineage: Eukaryota; Viridiplantae; Streptophyta; Magnoliopsida; Malpighiales; Euphorbiaceae. The record is from RNAcentral.
GUAAACGGCUACUUAAUAUAGCAAUGCAGCUCCGGAAAUGCUGUAAUCACCCAUAUUUGUUUCAAGGUGCUGAACCUGGGCCUCCUUACACCACAGGGGACCAUCUUAUUACUAGUGCUGGUAAAAUGGUUCUUUUGGACAAGUUGCUUCCAAAACUGAAAGAGCGUGAUUCUAGAGUCCUAAUAUUUUCGCAGAUGACAAGGCUGUUGGACAUUCUUGAAGAUUAUUUAAUGUUUCGUGGAUACUAUUACUGUCGAAUUGAUGGUAACACUGGUGGUGAAGAUCGUGAUGCAUCCAUUGAUGCCUUCAACAGGCCAGGAAGUGAAAAAUUU